GAGAGACGCCAUGAAUAAUGUCCCCUUUCCUUUCCUUUGAAUCCUCAUCACCAGUCGCACCAGUCGCACCAUUCCCUGCCCAGAGCCGUUGCGCGCCGCCUUUCCACCUCCGUCGCUGCCUCUACACCUCUCACCUGUCCCUCCGCCGCUCGGGGCUUUUCUCAUUGCCCGUGGUGCUCCUGCUCCUGUUGCUGCUACUGUCGCUUCAGUCGAUGCUGCGCUUCUCUGUGGGCGCUGCAAGUCUGUUUGUUGUGCGUAUGGGCCACCUUUUCUGAGGUUUUUUUGGGAUGACCUCGCGAUCAGAACCCUCAUUAGAUGGAUCCUGGUAGCGCAACCUCCUUCAUGGACAUCCACUAUCAGAAGCAGUACAGUGUAGUUCAUGAAACAGUUGAGCAGUUCAAGGUUGUGGGCUCAUACGCUACAGAGGAGGAGGCAUUAACCGCUGCGCUGGACUGCCAGAUCGACGUCUUCAAAGCUACUAAAGAUCAAGUUCUAGUCCAAGUGAGACAAUGGUUACCUGAGAAGCCUUUGGCAUGGCAACUUCGAAUGCUCCAAGAUGCAAUGGAAUCGUAUUUCCUUGAUGUAGGGUUUGAAUCUUUGUCGGACUACUUCACGGUCACGGAUCAGCCUAUCACGGACGUUGCUCCGAAGAAGAGGAAGAUGGCGACCACGCCAAGAGGCGAGUCGAAGCUGGCGAAGUCUAAUACCAGAUGUGGCAUCGCAAGUACUUCCGCAUUGAAAACCAUGUCUAGAUAUAUGUACCAGACCUCGCCAUUCGGUAUGUCCUAAGAGUAUAAUCUAAGUUUGUUCUCAUAUUUUCUAGUUGAGGGCGUGGGUCCACCAGACGUCGAGGCAAUGUGAAUCUAGAUCUGGUCCAUUCUUCUCGUGAAGAAGUUUUCUGGACAUGGAAGGCAAGUAAUCCUGGAUCCUGCCCAAGUCGACGAUAGAGACAGUUGCAGAGUAGCUGUGUUUCUUUUAUUUUGUUUGAGAUUCAGACCUCCGAGAACGUGUAUCUGAUCCAGCUUAUCGACAACACAUGAGGUGCCGUGUAGUGCGCUCUAAAUUUUGUAGAAGUUACGGAAUUAUCUCCAGAUUAAUGUGAUUAAUCUUACUUCCACCCGGUUUUACUCUC
Physcomitrium patens is the source of this 1132-nucleotide non-coding RNA. The record is from RefSeq and is a predicted model, not a curated record. NCBI's taxonomy places the organism in Eukaryota, Viridiplantae, Streptophyta, Bryopsida, Funariales, Funariaceae.